AGCAGUGGGGAAUAUUGCACAAUGGGCGCAAGCCUGAUGCAGCCAUGCCGCGUGUGUGAAGAAGGCCUUCGGGUUGUAAAGCACUUUCAGUCGUGAGGAAGGCGCGGUAAUACGGAGGGUGCGAGCGUUAAUCGGAAUUACUGGGCGUAAAGCGCAUGCAGGUGGUUUGUUAAGUCAGAUGUGAAAGCCCGGGGCUCAACCUCGGAAUUGCAUUUGAAACUGGCAGACUAGAGUACUGUAGAGGGGGGUAGAAUUUCAGGUGUAGCGGUGAAAUGCGUAGAGAUCUGAAGGAAUACCGGUGGCGAAGGCGGCCCCCUGGACAGAUACUGACACUCAGAUGCGAAAGCGUGGGGAGCAAACAGGAUUAGAUACCCUGGUAGUCCACGCCGUAAACGAUGUCUACUUGGAGGUUGUGGCCUUGAGCCGUGGCUUUCGGAGCUAACGCGUUAAGUAGACCGCCUGGGGAGUACGGUCGCAAGAUUAAAACUCAAAUGAAUUGACGGGGGCCCGCACAAGCGGUGGAGCAUGUGGUUUAAUUCGAUGCAACGCGAAGAACCUUACCUACUCUUGACAUCCAGAGAACUUUCCAGAGAUGGAUUGGUGCCUUCGGGAACUCUGAGACAGGUGCUGCAUGGCUGUCGUCAGCUCGUGUUGU
This 655-nucleotide ribosomal RNA is filed under the name Vibrio parahaemolyticus. Its description in RNAcentral is "bacterial SSU rRNA". It matches the Rfam family "Bacterial small subunit ribosomal RNA", at positions 350 to 1068 of the family's 1533-position model. The record is from RNAcentral. Lineage: Bacteria; Pseudomonadati; Pseudomonadota; Gammaproteobacteria; Vibrionales; Vibrionaceae.